RNAcentral lists this ribosomal RNA (353 nucleotides) under uncultured bacterium. RNAcentral describes it as "partial 16S ribosomal RNA". It matches the Rfam family "Bacterial small subunit ribosomal RNA", at positions 338 to 708 of the family's 1533-position model. The record is from RNAcentral.
CCUACGGGUGGCAGCAGUAGGGAAUAUUGCUCAAUGGGGGUAACCCUGAAGCAGCAACGCCGCGUGGAGGAUGAAGGUUUUAUGAUUGUUAACUCCCUUUGAUAGGGAAGAUAAUGACGGUACCUAUCCCAUUUUCAAUGGCUAAUAUCGUGCAAGCAGCCGUGGUACCACGGAGGGUGCGAGCGUUAGUCGGAAUUACUGGGCGUAAAGCGCGCGUAGGCGGGAUAGCAAGUCAGUUGUGAAAUCCUAUGGCUUAACGAUGGAACUGCAUUUGAAACUGGCAAACUGGAGUGUGGGAGAGGUGGGUGGAAUUCCAGGUGUAGGAGUGAAAUCCGUAGAGAUCUGGAGGAAUA